This is a non-coding RNA of Pelobates cultripes (western spadefoot toad), 313 nucleotides long. NCBI's taxonomy places the organism in Eukaryota, Metazoa, Chordata, Amphibia, Anura, Pelobatidae. The record is from the annotation of a GenBank genome assembly.
UUGAUGAUUUACGACCUCUGUUUCUGUGUUUGGGUAAACGCCUAUGCGAUCCGGCUGCUGAAGAGGAAUUAGAUCCGUACAACAGUGCAGAUGGCAUAUCAGUCACAUGGCCUUCAGAGUGGACAGUGCAAUCACUUUUCACUCCCAUCACUCUGAGCAUCACGUUCACUGUCACAAUUCUGAUCUGCAUCGGAGUUCUGCCAGUGUACAGAACCAUGUCUGUUUUCAUUCCUAUCACCUGGAACCUGAUUCCCUCCGUCAAGUUUGGCCAAGAAAGUCUUUUCAAACUGUUCUGCCCAAGAUUGCCAAGAUU